UGGGAGAUCCCUGCCUCGUGCAGCGCUGCGCAGUCAGGCUGACGGUACAGCGGGUUCUCCCAUGCUAUUAAGUGGCACAAAAUCCUGUAGAUGUCCCUCACGGACAGACCAGUGCUACUGAGGGUCUACUGAAGACUUCAAGUCUACAUAAGCCUCCUUACGAAAGGUAAACUUGUUUUCUAAUUUCUCAAAACUGGCCGCUUUGACAGCUCCAAAAGUUUAGCACUACUGAAAAGGCAAAAGAAGCAAAGCAAAGCUGUUAAGACACCUAGCAAGAUGCAUAUUCAUGACUAAGAGGAACAUAGAAAAGACAGGACAAUGAACCAAAAAAAGAUAAUAUUCACAACUACAAAAUUAUGAAACCGUAAACAAUUCCAUCAUGUAUAAAAUCUAAACAUUUCUAAUGUACUCAUCACUGUUAUACAGCUGCCUAUACCGGACAAUAACUAACUGCUGUAGUAUACUACAGUGAGAUAUAAAGUGAAAAAUCACAGGGUUUUAAUGCAAUUUAAAAUAUAUACAAUAAAAUGUUUCCCACACUCAGAAGUAUUUUAAAAGCAGAGAAUUUUGUGCCAGAAUACUAUUCUUUUGUAACCAGAACAAGUUACACUGUAUUAAUAAAAUUCCAGCUCCAUUAACAGCACAGUUUGCUUAACCAUUAUAAUACCAAUAGCCAAAAUUCUUUUAAGUAUUCAAUAGACAACUUACCUGAAUAUGUGGAUGCUAAGAUUUCAUCAUACCCAUCCUUUCCUACACAGCCACCCUGGAUAGAUGUGAUGCUCUCUGACAAGGCCUAAAAAAUAAAAACAGACGAGCACUCAGGAGAUACAUUACUUUAUUCAUUUUAUAUGAGCGCUGUUUAAAGAAAAGAAAAAAAAAACCACUUCCCCUUCUGUAAUUGUAGUGCAGAAAAAUCUAUUCAGAUGCACAACAGCUCAAAAGUAUAAGAAAUACUUAAUUACUUGUUAUUGUGUUUCAGCACAUAUAUUUUUGGUUCUGCUGUAUAUGUACCUUGAAAGACAUAUUAGGAACUGGUUUAUAAAGUAAAACCUUGAUGCACAGUCUAAUUUUCAAACAGUAAUUACCAGAAUGUGCUGGAAGGAAAGAAGAGUGACUAUGAAUUAAAUCCACUAUUUUAAACAAUUAGUAAUAAAUACAGCCAUACCAGAAAGUAUAAACUUUAAAGAGUCACUUGUUUAUUUAAGAGGGGAAAAAAAUCAAUACAUUUUAAAGUUUUGGGGGUGGUUUGUGUUUGGUUGAGUGUUGUUUUGUUUAGAUUGUUUUACUAACCUGAGUUAGUAACACCAUCUUAAGUUAUUAAAAAAAAAAAGAGAGAACUUUCAAAAUGUAUGUUUACCAUUUGUGCUGUUUAAUUUUAGCAUUUCAUUCAAAUUGACUGGCCUGUUUCAUUUUCUGGUUCUCACAUAUUAGCAUAUUCCUUUUGCGUUGGGGUUUCUACCAUUACAUGGAAGCAUAAAAUUUUAAAAUACAAAUAACAUUUUUUAAUUCUUAACAGUUUAGGUAAGCCCUUGGCCAUUUUUGUAAUUGCUAUUAUACAGUGUGCCUAAAAAUAAAAUGAAGUUCAGCACUGAACAAACCACCUUUUAAACACUCUUUGACAGCACAUAAGAAUAUAGCUAUACCAUGCAGACAGAACGGCUGCAGACCAUUUAAAUAAAUAAAUUUAUAUAAAAUGUUUAAUAAUGACUGAAGGGCAAGAAAGACAAUGCAAAUACAUAUCUAUGGCAUACCAUUGGUUUAGCUGUGUAACAAUAUCGUUAGAGCCCUACCAAAUUCACAGUCCAUUUUGGUCAAUUUCACGGCCACAGGGUUUUAAAAUUAGUCAAUGGCACGUUUUCAGAUGUUUACAUCUGAAAUUUCAGGGUGGUGUAACGGUUGGGGGCCUGACCCAAAAGGCGGUCAGGGUGGGAAAAGUCACAAGGCUAUUGUAGGGGGGCCAUGGGAGUGCUACCCUCAGCAGUCUCUCAAGUGGAGCCGUGGAGCUUCCUGCAGCCGGGGGCUGACAGCUGGAGCCACGGAGCUUCCUUCAGCUGGGGCAGAUCCCGGAGGUAUGUCUAACCCGCCCCAGGCGGGGCCCCCUUCAGUGGAAGAGGAAAUCUCAUCCCUCCCCAUCCCUGGCUGGGACUAGCAACUGGAGGCCUGCGGAAGGUAGGAGCCCCAGGGUGAGUGCCAGAUUUCACAGGGAGAUCAGAUUUCACAGUCUGUGAUGUGUUUUUGGUAGGCUGUGAAUUUGGCAGGACCCUAAAUAUAGUUACAAAUAAAAAUUAAGAAAUUAAACAAUUAUAAUUCAUUUCUUUUCUAAUUUAAAGCAAAUAAGUUUAAAAUAUGCCCUGUGAAGAGGGCAUUUCUUGUGAUGAGCUUACGUGAUCAUAUCGAAGGACAGGCUCAUUUGUGCUAUCGAAGUUAUAGAUUUCUAACAUACCAUCAUCUCGGCCAACAAGUAAUUCUUUAACUCCAUCACCCAGAAUGUCAAAGUUAUCAACACAUAAGAUACCUAUAAAUAAAUUAAAAAAAACCAUCUUAUGAACAACAAACUGACUGCUCAUUUCACCUUUUGUCUCUCAAUGAACUAUUUGCAAAGUAGCCCAUGAAAAAGGUAUUACAGUGCAUUAAUAGUCUUAAAAAAACCAAAUUGACAGCGCAUUCUUGCUAAGUUUGUAAGGUUUUAUUAACGCCAUUUUUGGCUUCUGAGUAAAAUGAGUGACUUCAUCACUUUGAUAUGAGAAACAAUGUACUGGACUAAGUAGGUAAAAAACAGAACUAUAUUCCAAUGCAAAGCACAGAAAUAAAGAGACUUAAUAGAAAUCAAUUGUAAAGAACCCAAAACCAAAUCUAAGAUUCAGGCCCCUUUAAAGCAUUUGAGUCACGCAAAAUCACAACUCAUAUUUGAAAAAUGACGUAAUACUAAGAAGUUUACUAAAAAUAUUUUUGAGUGACAAAAGAAUGAACAUAGCAGCAUGCUCUACAAGCACAUGUGAUAACUGGGUUCUAUUCAUGGUCCUUCCCUUUUCAGAGGAACACCACCUGAUAUUGCUGCAGAGGCAGCAUAAAAAUAAAAGGGAAUCAAUGUCCUGGAAAUCAAAGCAAUAAUUUUUGGCCAUUUAAAGAAUAGUGGAGCGUCAAAAAGAGCCUUGGCCAAUCCUCAGACUGAAAGCAGGUACAAAGUGACAAAAAACAGUAUUACACAGGGACAGUGAUAACCUGUGCUGGGGGAAGAAUUCAAAAUGCCACAGGUUUGGAAAAAUAUGAUUUUCAUAUUUGGACUUAUAAGUACAACCACCACAACAGCAGACAGUCAAAUUAUAUAUAUAAAAUAAUUUAAAGGAGUUUAUUUUUUAAAAGGUCACCUUAAAAUAGUAAACAAAAGCAUACUAAAUAAGAACUGGAAAUAACCUGCAUGAAGAAUAAGAAAAAAAAAAACCCAAGACAAAAACUUCUUCAGCAAGAGGUCAGGAGCAAGGAAACGGAGUACUCAAGUUACUGUAAUAUACAGGCAAAACUGUGAUUUAUCUUCAAAAUAUUUACUAUAACACAAAAAAUACCCAUAAGUAAUAAUGAAAUUUACUAGUAACUUUAUUUCAUACGGCCUGGUGUAUAAUGGAAUACCAAUGAUCUGGAAAGAUUACCAAGAUACAUACCUCCUCUCUUCUUCUCAUUUCUGACUUCCCACUUAUGUACCGGAGAUGCACUUGAAACCUGAAUGAGACCAACUUUCCCAUCAGAUGUUCCAAACAGAAGUUCUUCUCCAGAAUCACCUAAGCAUAUAGAAUGUAAUGUAUGAAUCACAAAAUAUUCAAAUUCAUGUUCUGCAACAGAGUUACCAGACUUUUUCAAAACACAGUGGAAGAAACAAGGCUAGAACUUCAGAAGAUGGACACUCAAACAUCUUGAAAACUAUGGGUAUUUUAAUAAUUUGUUCUUUCCUGUUCUUCUUACAUGUGUGCAUCUCUCACUCAACUCAAUAGCUGUUAAUGUAAAAGGAGCAGGACAUCAAUUAUAUAAAUACUGAAUACAUUAAAGUAAGGAUAUUUUCCCCAGCUUCUGAAAAAGACUAGCAAGAGAAGUACUUCCCUUCCAUUCCUCUUCCCCCACCCCCAUUAGAUGGUUUGUGGAGAGGUCUUCAAAAAGACAAAACUACCUCACUCAUUUACCUCGCUGGAUAAGGGCUACAGAAUCCAGCUUCUGCUAAGUGGGAUUUAAAAGGGAAACUUAUUCUCACUCCCAAACCAGCUGCUGCCAUCACAGUGCUACUUUCAAAUGGCCUGACUGAAAGAAAAUGGAUUAGGAGCCGGAUUAGAGCCAUUCAUUAAUUUUUUUGACCUAUAGUGCUAAAUUCAGGUGACAGAAGAUAGCAAAAGGGCUGGCUAAACAAUUUUAAACUUUAAGGUUGUGUCUACCCUACAGAGACUAUGUCAGCAUAGGUAUGCUGGCAUAACCCCAUAGUGUAGACACAGCCUACACCGCCAAAAGGGGUUUUUCACUAGUGUGGAACACCACCUCCCUGAACAACGUUAGCUACAUUGACAUAAGCACUCUUCUGUUGACAUAGCUGCAUCUACCCUUGGGGUUAGCCUGGCAUAACUAUGUUGGUCAGGGAUGUGAUUUUUAAAUUUAGGCCAAACCUAAAUUACAUCUCUCCUCCAUACGCUCGGAUCAUGACAGCUCUGCUCAACCUUCUCAUUCACCAAAUCACAGCUACUGAAGAUAAAUGUAAAGAAAUCCACGGCACAGUGAAAGAUCAAUGUCCAUGAAAAGAAUUCCUACAUCACACAAAAAAUAAAGGCAAAGGCCCUGUUUUUCAUUUACAGUAAUGUUACUUUUCAUAUCAGUGAUAGUUUAAAAGGACCUUAAAGGGAAUGUAAAUGCAAUUUGCACUCCCUUUUGUGGCCCCUUUACACUGCCAAAGUGGUGUAAAGAGUCUUAGAAUAAAAGAGAAUCAGGACCAGAGACAGAAAAAGGUGUGUGGGAGAAACUAUCAAGUCCUUCACCUCCUGAACAACCCCCAUGCCUAAAUCGCUGCUGGCCUCUCUCACCAUGUCCAGAUAGGAGGCUACGAUAGUCCCUGAAGUUCCACUUCGUGCCUUUUAGUGCUUGUGGAUGCUUAAAACACUGCAGUGGCACAGCUGCACCACCAUAUACUUCAAUGUAGACACUACCUAUGCUGACAGGAGGGCUUCUCCCAUGAGGAGAUGAAUUCCCUAUGCCUAGGAGAUGGUAACUAGGUUGACAGAAUAAUUCUUCUAUCAACCUAGUGCUAGUUUGCACCAGGGGUUAGGUCAGUAUAGCCGUCUCUCAUACCUGCGAAAGAUGUAGCUAAACUGAAGUAAAUUACUGGUUUAGGCCGGGCCUUAGCCUCUUACUCCUGCCUGAAGUGGACAAAGGCUGCAUUUAAUAACACAAGUGCUAGUUAUGUUUCUGUAUGAAAAAUGGAGCUUUGGACAUAUGACACUUUGAACAAAAAAGACUAACAGGAAUCUUGCUUUGUCUCUUAACCACAGCAAUUCUGUUUUUGGCAAUGAGCUAAUUAGAAAUGUUCUGACAUAAAAGUUUAUCAGUCAAAUUCUAUCAAAGCUACGAAAUGUUAUAUGUAAACUAUUAUAAGAAAAAACUGCAUGGUCAGAGCUGUGACCCUUUCUGCAUUUUUCACUUCUAGACAAUGUUAACCAAGGUUCUACAAUAUUUGUAAAUAAGACAUCCAGAUUUUGAUACUUUUAUUUAAAAUACAUUUCAGUGAAAUACUGAUAUAUUUAAGAUCUAGUUACCACCAUUUCCAUUGUUUAAAGCAAGAACAGUAGGCGGUCCAGAAACUUCCACUUCAUAUAGCAAAUCAGACCCCUACAGAUGAAGAAGAAAGAAAAGAGUUUUUAAAAUGAUCCAUUUAAAAAAAAAAUCACUUAAAAUUGCAUAAGUAUGUGUAUUCUGUGUUACACGUAUGGAUAAACUUGCUAUGUGUGUUGGUAAUCUUUCAAAACUACAGAACAGUGAAGUGUAUAAAUGGAGUACAAGACUGUUUUUUUAUUAAAAGAUGUUAAAUAAGAUGUUUAAAAUGUAUUUCUAGUGUUUUUAAACUCAGUUUUUGUGGCAAUAUAACCUGAAAAUUCAUGUACCAAUUCAGUUGCCAACUUUUACGUGGUAAAUAAGCACCCCAAACUUUCACAAUAAGCCAAAAAUCAAGCGAAUCCCAUUUCAAAACAAGGCCAAAACAAGCCAAUCCCUAAGAAUCCCCAAACUCUAUUCAACUAGAUCCCCCCAGCGUGCAGCCUGGGACUGUGGUGGGCCCGUUGUGCACCCCUGACUCUCUCCCCCACUUUCCUCCUGCUUGUCAGGAGCCAAU
Molecule: non-coding RNA, 6355 nt
Organism: Chrysemys picta bellii (western painted turtle)
Lineage: Eukaryota; Metazoa; Chordata; Testudines; Emydidae
Source: RefSeq, a predicted model, not a curated record